Molecule: ribosomal RNA, 484 nt
Filed under: uncultured bacterium
Lineage: Bacteria
Description: partial 16S ribosomal RNA
Rfam family: Bacterial small subunit ribosomal RNA
Source: RNAcentral
AUUGAACGCUGGCGGAAUGCUUUACACAUGCAAGUCGAGCGGCAGCGCGGCCUUCGGGCUGGCGGCGAGCGGCGAACGGGUGAGUAAUGCAUCGGAACAUGCCCAGUCGUGGGGGAUAACACUUCGAAAGAAGUGCUAAUACCGCAUACGUCCUGAGGGGGAAAGCGGGGGAUCGCAAGACCUCGCGCGAUUGGAGUGGCCGAUGUCAGAUUAGCUAGUUGGUGGGGUAAAGGCCUACCAAGGCGACGAUCUGUAGCUGGUCUGAGAGGAUGAUCAGCCACACUGGGACUGAGACACGGCCCAGACUCCUACGGGAGGCAGCAGUGGGGAAUUUUGGACAAUGGGGGCAACCCUGAUCCAGCCAUUCCACGUGAGUGAAGAAGGCCUUCGGGUUGUAAAGCUCUUUCGGCAGGAACGAAACGGUGGGCUCUAACAUAGUCCGCUAAUGACGGUACCUGAAGAAGAAGCACCGGCUAACUACGUG